ACGAACGCUGGCGGCAUGCCUAACACAUGCAAGUCGCACGAGACCUUCGGGUCUAGUGGCGCACGGGUGCGUAACGCGUGGGAACCUGCCCUUAGGUUCGGAAUAACUCCCCGAAAGGGGUGCUAAUACCGGAUAAUGUCUUCGGACCAAAGAUUUAUCGCCUUUGGAUGGGCCCGCGUUGGAUUAGCUAGUUGGUAGGGUAAAAGCCUACCAAGGCGACGAUCCAUAGCUGGUCUGAGAGGAUGAUCAGCCACACUGGGACUGAGACACGGCCCAGACUCCUACGGGAGGCAGCAGUGGGGAAUAUUGGACAAUGGGCGAAAGCCUGAUCCAGCAAUGCCGCGUGAGUGAUGAAGGCCUUAGGGUUGUAAAGCUCUUUUACCCGGGAUGAUAAUGACAGUACCGGGAGAAUAAGCUCCUGCUAACUCCGUG
RNAcentral lists this ribosomal RNA (432 nucleotides) under uncultured bacterium. RNAcentral's name for it is "partial 16S ribosomal RNA". It matches the Rfam family "Bacterial small subunit ribosomal RNA", at positions 29 to 507 of the family's 1533-position model. The record is from RNAcentral.